This is a long non-coding RNA of Cyanistes caeruleus (blue tit), 2052 nucleotides long. RefSeq lists it as uncharacterized. Lineage: Eukaryota; Metazoa; Chordata; Aves; Passeriformes; Paridae. The record is from RefSeq and is a predicted model, not a curated record.
CCACCAAAUUCCAGAAACAUCCCACAAAAUGUCCUCAAUACCCAAUGUUUUCUGCUGCACUGUUUGUCAUAAACAAAAUGAAGAUUUAAAAAAAGCCCCACAACCUUAAUAGCCUUUUGCAGAAAUGAGGCAGACCCAGCAAUCUUGAAGCAGUCAUUGCUUCAGUCUUUCUAUAACUCUGAAGACAACUAAAUGAACACAGAAAUCAGAGCUCUCACACACCCUACAGCCAACAGCUCCCAAAAUUAUUAAAACCCUUAUUGAUUCAGUUUAUUGCAGAUGCUGUCCUGAAGCAGAAAAGGUGAUUCUGCACUUCCUUAGUCCUUUUCCCUUGGACUGAGGUUUGGUUUGGCCUUGUGUGGUCCUGCUGAAGAGCAACAGAGAGCAGUGACAAGGCUUCCUUCACCCUGGGAUUAUAAAAUCUUGUUGUUUGGGCAGAGACAAAUCUCUCCCUGGCUACAGCCUCCUGACAGCUACAGGGGCCAGGACCAGGUGUCCCCUGAGUCUCACUGAGUACUUGGUUUAUGCAAAACAUUGGGGCUCAUUCCAUUUGCUGAGAAGAAGAGCCAAAGAUGACACACCUUGGGCACCGUCCCCUCCUCACCCCAAAGUGCCCCCCAGGACGGCCUGUGGCUCAUCAAGUAACAUUUCUGCAAUCAGGCAUCGCCAAAAGUGUUUCUAACAACACAUUCCAUCACUUCUUGUCACUUUUUAUUCAGUGCAAGCAUGGAAAUGUCUGAGAUAGACAAUGGAAAGCAAUACAUAAAAUCCAAGACAAGCGAUCAUAAAUGGCCCUGCUGGGAAAGCAGAUCCCACGGAAUUGGAUGGAGGUGGAAGGUCACUCCUAACACAUUAAAUACAACAGCCAAAGCAGAUCCUGAUGUCACCCUGAUACUGAGAUGGAAAAGUCACCUGCUUAAAAUCAUUGAAAAGGAAAAGAAGGAGCAGGAGGACAGGUGGGUAGGUGUGUUGGUAACUCUGUUAAACACAGUUUAAAAAACCCCAAAACGCAGUAGUUAUUAACCAGAUAUUUGAGGAGGCACAGCCACAGCUCUCUGCAGAACAUUUACAAAGUGCUUGACAAAUGGAAAGCUGGAUCUUUUUCAGCAAGUGCCGUGGGUGCUGUGCACCCAGACCUGGAGCACCAGGGCCAUCCAUCUGCCUCAGGAGUCCUGCUUUCAUCCUUGGAGUGUGCAUCCUUCCAUCCUCCAGUGUGCACCGGCACUUCAGAUUGAGGUGCAGACCGGCUCCAGACGCUGCACAUGGAAGGCAAGGAGAGCUGGGAGCCGAGAGAGGAGCGGUUUCUCCUGGAACACCGGGAGCCCUUCCAUGGCAGCAGCUCAUUCCCAGCCCCUGCCCCACUCUCUGCUCCCAAAGGUCACCGGGAACUCGCCCAAGGCCCGGGGGGCUCGGCAGGGCUUUCCCACCUGGGCCGAGUGCCACAGGAGGGGCCCCUGCAGGAUUUCUGUCUCGGUCGGGUUCCAGCAGCUCAGACUGGCUCCUGCAUCCAGCAGGGAUUGGGUGGGGAUUUGGUUGGGGCUUUUUGUUUGCUGGUUUGGCUUUUAGUUAUUUAGAGAGUGCUUUGAGGGUCAGUUUUGCUGCUUCAUCAGCUUUACCCCCUGCCCAGCUGCCUGUUGUGUGCAUGGAAGGGUUCAAUCUGCAUUUCGCUUCUUCUGCACCCCUACUUUAUUAUUUUAGGCUCUUUAUUUUCAUUUUUCUCUUUUCCUUUUGACUGUUUUUUCCCCCUUUCAUUCCCCCUUUUUUAAUAUUUAUUUUCUGCCGUGGGUUUUUUUCCCCCCCCCUCUUCUCUCACGUGACCUCGGUGCUUUCCUGUCUUUUUGUAAAUUUUUCUUUUUUCUUUUUUUUUUUUUUUUUUUUUUUUUUUUAAUCUUCUCCUGAUCAGAAGCCCCUGGGGCAGCUGCACAGCCGGGGCCACUCCUGGCUGUCAGAGAAGCCGGGAGCUGACUGCUCUACGGGAUUUGUUUGCUCCCAGGUCUGCGGCUCGGGGCUCUCUCUCAUCGUGUUUUAUCAAAUAAAGUUCGUGUGGCAUUC